RNAcentral lists this ribosomal RNA (615 nucleotides) under uncultured bacterium. RNAcentral describes it as "bacterial SSU rRNA". It matches the Rfam family "Bacterial small subunit ribosomal RNA", at positions 97 to 726 of the family's 1533-position model. The record is from RNAcentral.
GGCGAACGGGUGAGUAACACGUGAGUAACCUGCCCUUGACUCUGGGAUAAGCCUGGGAAACUGGGUCUAAUACCGGAUAUGACUCCUCAUCGCAUGGUGGGGGGUGGAAAGCUUUUGUGGUUUUGGAUGGACUCGCGGCCUAUCAGCUUGUUGGUGAGGUAAUGGCUCACCAAGGCGACGACGGGUAGCCGGCCUGAGAGGGUGACCGGCCACACUGGGACUGAGACACGGCCCAGACUCCUACGGGAGGCAGCAGUGGGGAAUAUUGCACAAUGGGCGCAAGCCUGAUGCAGCGACGCCGCGUGAGGGAUGACGGCCUUCGGGUUGUAAACCUCUUUCAGUAGGGAAGAAGCGAAAGUGACGGUACCUGCAGAAGAAGCGCCGGCUAACUACGUGCCAGCAGCCGCGGUAAUACGUAGGGCGCAAGCGUUAUCCGGAAUUAUUGGGCGUAAAGAGCUCGUAGGCGGUUUGUCGCGUCUGCCGUGAAAGUCCGGGGCUCAACUCCGGAUCUGCGGUGGGUACGGGCAGGCUAGAGUGAUGUAGGGGAGACUGGAAUUCCUGGUGUAGCGGUGAAAUGCGCAGAUAUCAGGAGGAACACCGAUGGCGAAGGCAGGU